This 465-nucleotide ribosomal RNA is filed under the name uncultured bacterium. RNAcentral describes it as "partial 16S ribosomal RNA". It matches the Rfam family "Bacterial small subunit ribosomal RNA", at positions 338 to 795 of the family's 1533-position model. The record is from RNAcentral.
CCUACGGGGUGCAGCAGUGGGGAAUAUUGCGCAAUGGGCGAAAGCCUGACGCAGCGACGCCGCGUGAGGGAUGAAGGUCUUCGGAUCGUAAACCUCUGUCAGCAGGGAAGAACGGUCACUGUGCUAAUCAGCAGUGAAUUGACGGUACCUGCAAAGGAAGCACCGGCUAACUCCGUGCCAGCAGCCGCGGUAAUACGGAGGGUGCGAGCGUUAAUCGGAAUUACUGGGCGUAAAGCGCUCGUAGGCGGUAUGUCAAGUCAAGGGUGAAAUCCCCGCGCUCAACGUGGGAACUGCCUUUGAAACUGGCAAACUGGAGUGUGUGAGAGGAUAGUGGAAUUCCAGGUGUAGGAGUGAAAUGCGUAGAUAUCUGGAGGAACAUCAGUGGCGAAGGCGACUAUCUGGCACAUAACUGACGCUGAGGAGCGAAAGCGUGGGUAGCAAACAGGAUUAGAUACCCGGGUAGUC